This 805-nucleotide long non-coding RNA is filed under the name Amphimedon queenslandica. RNAcentral describes it as "uncharacterized LOC109582412, transcript variant X1". Lineage: Eukaryota; Metazoa; Porifera; Demospongiae; Haplosclerida; Niphatidae. The record is from RNAcentral.
AGCAAGACAUUGUUGAAACAUCUGCCAUUCCCAGAAUGUCGAUCAUGUUCUUGGCCCUUUCUUGUGAAUCCUCUAGUACACCAAAUAUUUCCUCAUCACUUAAAUUCUAGGAAAUUUAAUUUGGUGACUGUUUCUUUCAGAUUGUGACUCUAUAUCUUCUUUUAUGACCAAUUUAUGAAGACGCUCCAGCAGACCUAGCAUACUGAAGUUUAUGACGGUUGAAAAAGUACUCGACAUACUUCUUAAUGAUCGAAACAAUUUCUCACAACUUUGAGAACCCAUAAUGUAUGGAGUAAAGUGCUCAGGUAACAUGAAGCCGACACAAAUAUUACUUGACGGAUCAUAUUCAACUGUUUUGACUAUUCUGGUGGCAUCCUCUGCAACAGUGACUAAAAGAGGUGCAUUAUAUUUAUGUAAAUGCUGCAACAACUGAUCAAAUCUGAAAUGUCCUUCUCGAAAUUGCUGAUAAUCAGAAUGAAUUAUUCCCUGCACUGUUCUCAGGGAAGGCAAUGCCUCUGACAUGUUGCGAUGAAGAAAUUCAUAUGCCAUUGGACCAGCAUUGAUUAAGAGGAUAGUAGCAAACUUUUUUAGUUCAGAAGAAUGUCUCCGCCCAUGGUCAAGUCUAUUUGAAUUUCUCUUGACAUUUUCCAUGAUAUGCUGUAGCAUUGGCGUAAUUUGACAUGUAGAUGAAGUACAUUCAGGUGUACUAUCUGUUGUGUCUUGGACUGUUAAACAUUGCUUUAAUAUGGUACUCAACUUUUCAUUUCUUUUUGCUACUAAAGAUAUUUCAUCAAUAACCUUUAAA